Molecule: ribosomal RNA, 192 nt
Filed under: Klebsiella variicola
Lineage: Bacteria; Pseudomonadati; Pseudomonadota; Gammaproteobacteria; Enterobacterales; Enterobacteriaceae
Also listed under: 1 other name
Description: partial 23S ribosomal RNA
Rfam family: Bacterial large subunit ribosomal RNA
Source: RNAcentral
UGCCCGGUAGCUAAAUGCGGAAGAGAUAAGUGCUGAAAGCAUCUAAGCACGAAACUUGCCCCGAGAUGAGUUCUCCCUGAGACUUUAAGUCUCCUGAAGGAACGUUAAAGACGAUGACGUUGAUAGGCCGGGUGUGUAAGCGUAGCGAUACGUUGAGCUAACCGGUACUAAUGAACCGUGAGGCUUAACCUU